Molecule: ribosomal RNA, 510 nt
Filed under: uncultured Pelospora sp.
Lineage: Bacteria; Bacillati; Bacillota; Clostridia; Eubacteriales; Syntrophomonadaceae
Description: bacterial SSU rRNA
Rfam family: Bacterial small subunit ribosomal RNA
Source: RNAcentral
AACGCUGGCGGCGUGCCUAACACAUGCAAGUCGAACGGAGAUAUUAAUGAAGCUUGCGAUUUAAUAUCUUAGUGGCGGACGGGUGAGUAACGCGUGGGUAAUCUGCCCAUAAGUGGGGAACAACAGUUGGAAACGACUGCUAAUACCGCAUACGCUGUCGCAAGACAGGAAAGGUGGCCUCUGAAUAUGCUGCCGCUUAUGGAUGAGCCCGCGUCUGAUUAGCUAGUUGGUGGGGUAAAGGCCUACCAAGGCGACGAUCAGUAGCCGGCCUGAGAGGGUGAACGGCCACACUGGGACUGAGACACGGCCCAGACUCCUACGGGAGGCAGCAGUGGGGAAUAUUGCGCAAUGGGGGAAACCCUGACGCAGCGACGCCGCGUGAGCGAUGAAGGCCUUAGGGUUGUAAAGCUCUGUUUUAAGGGACGAAUGUUACGGGGAGUAAUAUGCCCUGUAAAUGACGGUACCUUAAGAGGAAGCCCCGGCUAACUACGUGCCAGCAGCCGCGGUAAG